CCAUGCUAGUUGUACGGGUUUAGACCCGUAGCAAAUAGCUCCGUAACACGUGGUCAAACUACCCUCUGGACCGGAAUACCCUCGGGAAACUGAGGCUAAUUCCGGAUACUGCUUUCAUGUUGGAACACAGAAAGUCGGAAACGGUCCGCCGCCGGAGGACGUGACUGCGGCCGAUUAGGUAGACGGUGGGGUAACGGCCCACCGUGCCGAUAAUCGGUACGGGUUGUGAGAGCAAGAACCCGGAGACGGUAUCUGAGACAAGAUACCGGGCCCUACGGGGCGCAGCAGGCGCGAAACCUUUACACUGCACGCCAGUGCGAUAAGGGGACCCCGAGUGCGAGGGCAUACAGUCCUCGCUUUUCGUGACCGUAAGAAGGUCUCAGAAUAAGAGCUGGGCAAGACCGGUGCCAGCCGCCGCGGUAAUACCGGCAGCUCGAGUGAUAGCCACUAUUAUUGGGCCUAAAGCGUCCGUAGCCGGCCGAACAGGUCCGUCGGGAAAUCCACCCGCUCAACGGGUGGACGUCCGGCGGAAACCAGUCGGCUUGGGGCCGGGAGACCAGAGAGGUACGUCCGGGGUAGGAGUGAAAUCCCGUAAUCCUGGACGGACCGCCGGUAGCGAAAGCGUCUCUGGAGAACGGACCCGACGGUGAGGGACGAAAGCUUGGGUCUCGAACCGGAUUAGAUACCCGGGUAGUCCAAGCUGUAAACGAUGCUCGCUAGGUGUGGCGUUGGCUACGAGCCAGCGCUGUGCCGUAGGGAAGCCGAGAAGCGAGCCGCCUGGGAAGUACGUCCGCAAGGAUGAAACUUAAAGGAAU
Molecule: ribosomal RNA, 815 nt
Filed under: Halococcus thailandensis
Lineage: Archaea; Methanobacteriati; Methanobacteriota; Halobacteria; Halobacteriales; Halococcaceae
Description: bacterial SSU rRNA
Rfam family: Archaeal small subunit ribosomal RNA
Source: RNAcentral